GGUAAAAUGGCUGAGUUUAGGCGAUAAAUUGUAAAUUUAUUUACGAGAUAUAUUCUCUUUUAUCA
RNAcentral lists this transfer RNA (65 nucleotides) under Chandozhinskia hastaticercus. Its description in RNAcentral is "tRNA-Tyr". Lineage: Eukaryota; Metazoa; Arthropoda; Insecta; Orthoptera; Tettigoniidae. The record is from RNAcentral.